UAAUGUGUAGUUUAAUUAAAACAUGAGCUUUGUAAGUUUUUAUUGUAAAUA
RNAcentral lists this transfer RNA (51 nucleotides) under Parachtes ignavus. RNAcentral describes it as "tRNA-Thr". The record is from RNAcentral. Lineage: Eukaryota; Metazoa; Arthropoda; Arachnida; Araneae; Dysderidae.